GAUGAACGCUGGCGGCGUGCCUAAUACAUGCAAGUCGAGCGAACAGACCAGGAUCUUGCGCCUCGGACGUUAGCGGCGGGCGUGUGAGUAACACGUGUAUAACCUACCUAUAAGACUGGGAUAACUUCGGGAAACCGGAUCUAAUCCCGUAUAAGAUAUUGAACCGCGUUGGGCGAUGGUGAGAGACGGUUGUGCUGUCACUUAUAGCGGGAUCUCGGCCGCUUGGGGUAGUUGUGAAGUUAACGGGCUACCAAGGGAACGAGGCAUAGCCGAGGUGAGAGGGUGAUAGGCCACAUUGGAACUGGGACGCGGUCCUGACGCCUGCGGGAGGGAGCAGUAGGGAAUGGUACGCAGUGGGCGAGAGCCUGACGGAGCAAGGGGGCGUGAGUGAUGAAGGUCUUGGGAUCGUAAAGAUCUGUUAGUAGGGAAGAACAUAUGUGUAAGUAACUGAGGACAUAGUGACGGUAACUAAUCAGAAAGCAACGGCUAACUACGUG
Molecule: ribosomal RNA, 497 nt
Filed under: uncultured bacterium
Lineage: Bacteria
Description: partial 16S ribosomal RNA
Rfam family: Bacterial small subunit ribosomal RNA
Source: RNAcentral